Non-coding RNA from Pelobates cultripes (western spadefoot toad), 284 nucleotides. The record is from the annotation of a GenBank genome assembly. Lineage: Eukaryota; Metazoa; Chordata; Amphibia; Anura; Pelobatidae.
GUUAUUGUGCCUCGAUUGUUUUUUUAAGUAAUCUGCCAGUGCCCUGAGAUUGUGUUCUGGAUCCUCCCCUGGUUGCCGUCACACAGACGGCCAAUAGAGGUGCUUCCUGCAUUGUGCGGCACUGACAUUCUCUAUAGAGACGCUGAACUUUCCCCAUAGAUAUGCAUUGAGUCUAUGAGGAGAUGCUGAUUAGUGCAGAGCGGCGUUUUGCACAGAGGUUUUUUGCACAGACAGGCUAAUUAUUUGUUCUUGUCAAGCUAAAUGUAGCCUGCCCUUGACUGGUC